GAUGGUCUGCCUUCAGUUGGUUAGAGUGUGGCGCUGGUAAGGCCAAGUUUGCAGGUUCGAUCCCUGUUUGGGACAUCU
Molecule: transfer RNA, 78 nt
Filed under: Podarcis lilfordi (Lilford's wall lizard)
Lineage: Eukaryota; Metazoa; Chordata; Lepidosauria; Squamata; Lacertidae
Description: tRNA.Thr
Source: RNAcentral